This 391-nucleotide unclassified non-coding RNA is filed under the name soil metagenome. RNAcentral describes it as "partial contains 5.8S ribosomal RNA, internal transcribed spacer 2, and large subunit ribosomal RNA". The stretch from base 1 to 122 matches the Rfam family "5.8S ribosomal RNA", at positions 35 to 154 of the family's 154-position model. The record is from RNAcentral.
GAUGAAGAACGUAGCGAAAUGCGAUACUUGGUGUGAAUUGCAGAAUCCCGUGAACCAUCGAGUCUUUGAACGCAAGUUGCGCCCGAAGCCAUUAGGCCGAGGGCACGCCUGCCUGGGCGUCACACGUCGUUGCCCCCCCAUCUACUCCUUCGGGAUUGCGGGGGGCGGAUGAUGGCCUCCCGUGCGCCUCGUCGCGCGGUUGGCGUAAAUGCCAAGUCCUCGGCGACACACGCCACGACAAUCGGUGGUUGCGAAACCUCGGUUGCCCGUCGUGUGCGGUCGUCGCGCAUCGAGGGCUCGAAAAAAUUGCCGGGCUCCGGCUCGGCUUUCAACGCGACCCCAGGUCAGGCGGGGUUACCCGCUGAAUUUAAGCAUAUCAAUAAGCGGAGGA